Molecule: ribosomal RNA, 236 nt
Filed under: uncultured bacterium
Lineage: Bacteria
Description: partial 16S ribosomal RNA
Rfam family: Bacterial small subunit ribosomal RNA
Source: RNAcentral
UACGUAGGUGGCAAGCGUUGUCCGGAUUUACUGGGCGUAAAGAGCGCGCAGGCGGUCGUUCAAGUCGCGUGUGAAAGCCCCCGGCUCAACUGGGGAGGGUCACGCGAUACUGAUCGACUCGAAGGCAGGAGAGGGAAGUGGAAUUCCCGGUGUAGUGGUGAAAUGCGUAGAGAUCGGGAGGAACACCUGUGGCGAAGGCGGCCGACUGGGCCGACCCUGACGCUGAGGCGCGAAGG